UGCGGCUUAGAUUCGAGUAAAUACAGUAUCUGAGGUGUGUCACGUUCCUUGUGGCAAGUCUAACAUUGGACAAACACAGCACUACAUCUCCAUAUGUUUUUCUAUGAAACAUCUACACAAGACUUGGCCAGGAUGAUAAAUAAGCACUGGAUGAGAACACAUAUCAUUUCUGGGACAAUAUCAAGGAAGCAAAUGAAAGGCGUGACAAUCUCAUUAAUCAUGUUAAGAGUUUUGUCCCCUAUGCAAAUGGAAAUCUUCAUUUUAGGUAAUACAACUGGCACCACAACAUACUAAAUUUAAGAGGGUGGUGGUUGAAUGGUUAUGUACAGACAGCUGUGGAGAUACAAAUGUUCACUGCCAAUUGCUGUAUAAUCAUCAGAAGAUGGAAAGAGAGUACACGCCUCCACAGAUACACUUAGAAUUUUUGCAGCAAGAAACACAAGUAGACUUUAUUAUGUCAUUAAUUUUACUGUUACUACGAAGGGGAGAAUAGUGACAGUGUGACAUAACUUGUAAGCAAAAGAUUAAAAUUGAGGGGGUUUUAGCAUGUUCAAGUUAGAGAUGGAGGAACAUGGUGCUUUGAAAUUUGUUUUUAAAUCUUUAUCGAAAUGACUGUGAUCAUUAUUUUCAUUCAAUUAAUUGGCCAAAAUUAAUUUUUAUUUCUAUUCCAUUGCCACAUUGUUUUAAUCACUGUAUUAAUUUUUUCAGUUGCUCUCAUUUUUUCUUCCUAUUGUUAUCUUUCCACUUGCAAUCUUUGGGUGUGCAAAUUUAAUUACUGCAAUUUAUCUAUCAUAACAUUUAAACAUUGGAAAAUUCUAGUUUAUCAGUUAAAAAACGAAAGAUGAAAUAAUCUAUUUAUAUUGACUGUA
Molecule: long non-coding RNA, 869 nt
Organism: Schistocerca nitens (vagrant locust)
Lineage: Eukaryota; Metazoa; Arthropoda; Insecta; Orthoptera; Acrididae
Exons: 2
Source: RefSeq, a predicted model, not a curated record